RNAcentral lists this transfer RNA (72 nucleotides) under Capra hircus (goat). It matches the Rfam family "tRNA". Rfam says of the family: Transfer RNA (tRNA) molecules are approximately 80 nucleotides in length. Lineage: Eukaryota; Metazoa; Chordata; Mammalia; Artiodactyla; Bovidae. The record is from Rfam by way of RNAcentral. RNAcentral also lists the same sequence under 1 other name.
UGCCUAGUGGCCCAGAUGGUAAAGAAUCUGCCUGCAAUGCAGAAGACCCAGGUUUAAUCCCUGGCUUGGGAA